GUAGCCAAGUGGUAACGCUUCCGCCUCGUAAGCGGUAGAUCUGGGUUCAAAUCCCGGC
Transfer RNA from Culex pipiens (northern house mosquito), 58 nucleotides. It matches the Rfam family "tRNA", at positions 7 to 64 of the family's 71-position model. Rfam says of the family: Transfer RNA (tRNA) molecules are approximately 80 nucleotides in length. Their secondary structure includes four short double-helical elements and three loops (D, anti-codon, and T loops). Further hydrogen bonds mediate the characteristic L-shaped molecular structure. tRNAs have two regions of fundamental functional importance: the anti-codon, which is responsible for specific mRNA codon recognition, and the 3' end, to which the tRNAs corresponding amino acid is attached (by aminoacyl-tRNA synthetases). tRNAs cope with the degeneracy of the genetic code in two manners: having more than one tRNA (with a specific anti-codon) for a particular amino acid; and 'wobble' base-pairing, i.e. permitting non-standard base-pairing at the 3rd anti-codon position. The record is from Rfam. Lineage: Eukaryota; Metazoa; Arthropoda; Insecta; Diptera; Culicidae.